This 397-nucleotide ribosomal RNA is filed under the name uncultured bacterium. RNAcentral's name for it is "bacterial SSU rRNA". It matches the Rfam family "Bacterial small subunit ribosomal RNA", at positions 358 to 771 of the family's 1533-position model. The record is from RNAcentral.
GGAAUAUUGCACAAUGGACGAAAGUCUGAUGCAGCAACGCCGCGUGGAGGAUGAAGGCCCUUGGGUCGUAAACUCCUUUUUUCGGGGAAGAGAAUGGACGGUACCUGAAGAAUAAGUCACGGCUAACUACGUGCCAGCAGCCGCGGUAAUCCGUAGGUGGCAAGCGUUAUCCGGAAUUACUGGGCGUAAAGCGCACGCAGGCGGUCUUUUAAGUUUGACGUGAAAGCUCCCGGCUUAACUGGGAGAGGUCGUUGAAUACUGGAAGACUUGAGGCAAUGAGAGGGGUGUAGAAUUCCCGGUGUAGUGGUGGAAUGCGUAGAUAUCGGGGGGAAUACCAGUGGCGAAAGCGGCACCCUAGCGUUAGCCUGACGCUCAUGUGCGAAAGCGUGGGGAGCAA